This 197-nucleotide ribosomal RNA is filed under the name uncultured bacterium. Its description in RNAcentral is "partial 16S ribosomal RNA". It matches the Rfam family "Bacterial small subunit ribosomal RNA", at positions 328 to 539 of the family's 1533-position model. The record is from RNAcentral.
ACGCUCGACACCUACGGGGGCAGCAGUGGGGAAUAUUGCACAAUGGGGGAAACCCUGAUGCAGCGACGCCGCGUGAAGGAAGAAGUAUCUCGGUAUGUAAACUUCUAUCAGCAGGGAAGAAAAUGACGGUACCUGACUAAGAAGCCCCGGCUAACUACGUGCCUGCAGCCGCGGUAAUCUGAGCGGGCUGGCAAGGC